Molecule: long non-coding RNA, 11182 nt
Filed under: Capsicum annuum
Lineage: Eukaryota; Viridiplantae; Streptophyta; Magnoliopsida; Solanales; Solanaceae
Description: long non-coding RNA (CANN_LNC021965)
Source: RNAcentral
UUUUCAAAAUGAUUUGACUCUUUAAAACUGGUUUGCGAAUAGAGAUUCCGGCUAAGGAAUUCUGUUGACCGAGGGGAAGGUGUUAGGCACCCCUCAAUCCCGUGGUUCGAGCACGGUCGCUUGGUGGAGCGUAUCGGCUAAAUUUGACAUUAUGGAUGUAUAAAACAACAAACAACAACCAUGAAACAAACAAGCCAACCAAACAAAAACAGGUCCAAAACAACAAUGUCUAGUUCAAUUUAUUACAAACUGAAAUAGAAAAUACUAAAAUAAACCUACCCUAACCUAUACUUAGUCCUAAACUAUAGUCUACCCGAUGCCUUGGGCCUCGGUCACGAACAUCCUUCGCGUACAAAAUCUUCGGGGUACUCCUUGAUGAGUAAAUACAAACAACCUUGGGGCAUUCCCCGAUCAAAUAAAUACACUUUUUAAAUAUGGUAAACAAAACAUUCAACAAAUAUUUCAAACAUUCCAACAAUCCACCAAUUCUAAAUUUGCCUACCCAAGCCUACUAUUUGCCUACCCGCUCGACAACAGAUCACGUUCAACAUCAACAAUGAAUCAAAAUACCAUAAUAUUCACUUUUAUUAAUUUUCAAUUCCUAUUCCCCAAAUCCAUUUUUAACCAUAUGAUUAAAUCAAUUCUCUACGCCGUUCUUCAGUCAAGUUUUCAACUCCAAAUCCAACAUCAAACAAACAACAAACAAGGAUUCAAACAUGCCAACCAUAAAAAUCAUUCAUAAUCACAUAAAAAUUAUAAGAAGAAAAGGUAGAAUUGGACCUCAAUAGAGCGUUCUCGUAACAAACAACAACCAUGAAACAAACAAGCCAACCAAACAAAAACAAGUCCAAAACAACAAUGUCUAGUUCAAUUUAUUACAAACUGAAAUAGAAAAUACUGAAAUAAACCUACCCUAACCUAUACUUAGUCCUAAACUAUAGUCUAUCCGAUGCCUUGGGCCUCGGUCACGAACAUCCUUCGCGUACAAAAUCUUCAGGGUACUCCUUGAUGAGUAAAUACAAACAACCUUGGGGCAUUCCCCGAUCAAAUAAAUACACUUUUUAAAUAUGGUAAACAAAACAUUCAACAAAUAUUUCAAACAUUCCAACAAUCCACCAAUUCUAAAUUUGCCUACCCAAGCCUACUAUUUGCCUACCCGCUCGACAACAGAUCACGUUCAACAUCAACAAUGAAUCAAAAUACCAUAAUAUUCACUUUUAUUAAUUUUCAAUUCCUAUUCCCCAAAUCCAUUUUUAACCAUAUGAUUAAAUCAAUUCUCUACGCCGUUCUUCAGUCAAGUUUUCAACUCCAAAUCCAACAUCAAACAAACAACAAACAAGGAUUCAAACAUGCCAACCAUAAAAAUCAUUCAUAAUCACAUAAAAAUUAUAAGAAGAAAAGGUAGAAUUGGACCUCAAUAGAGCGUUCUCGUAGAUAAUAAAGAAGUCCAACAAACCAAGAUCCUCGAGCAAUGGACCCCAACAACGAGCAAACCAAAUCAAUGUAGAGAGUAAGAGAAACCCGCUACAAAUUUGUGGUUAACUAAAAACACUAAUUAACUUCGAACGACGUCUAAAAGCAAGAUGUCAAUGACAAAUCCCAAAGAUAGACCAACUCAAACCUCCCAAAAAUCCAAUGGAAAACUGAAAACUAGUAUAGUUUGAGCUCCAGUGAGCUGACAUAUCAAGAUCUAGUUAGUAAUGAACCGAAUCCCACAAAGAAAUCGCCGAAAUCGCUUGAAAACGACCAAAAAUAGUUAGCUCCGAUGAUUCUUGAUAUACUUUGACAUUUUCCCAGUGACACUGUCGGAGAACACUAUGAAUCAGUAAAGAAAUUUUGGGGAAUUUUGAAGUGGUGGUGAUUUUAAACCUAUGAUGCCUGAAAAUGAUCAAAAUAAUUAGUUCCGACGAUAGGUUUGCCAGAAAACUCAAAACCCAGUUCCCCUCUCUCGAUCUUCUGUCUCUCUCUUUGUUAGUCUCCCUCUCUCUUCCCUACUCUAUUUUCUAUGUGUGUGCGUGCGGAUUAAUUCGUGAAAAGAAAGAAAAUUGAGAAGAAGUUUUUUUUGUCUCCUCUAUACCUCUGUCUCCAUUUUUUUAUUUUCGUGAUGAAGAUGAUGAUUAAAUUGGUCCCUUCCUAUUUCCUGGAAUGUUGAUCCUUUGUUUUAUGUGCAUGAUAUAUGCUUUCAAUGAAUUGGUAAAUAAAAAGGAACCUUUAAGUGGGCCCCACCAGUUAUUGUAUGUAUUUUCUUGUGUGCCCCUUUUUGUAUUUGAUAUAUUUGAUUGAAAAGGAUGAGAACGUUAAGGAUGAGGGGUUAAAGGUAGGGUAGGGGUAGGAGGGUGGGGUAGGGUUUAGUGUUUAGAUCAGGGGUGAGGUGUCCUAAUUUUAUUGGAAAGUUUGUUGGGAUGUUUAACAUAAGACAAAUUUGUUAGGAUUUGUUAUUUGGAUAAAAACAAAAAUAAAUAAAUAAAUAAGUGAAAGAUGAGGUUGUUAUUUAUUUGUUUUUCUUGUGGAAAAAUUUACCACUUGGAUAGGAUACACGGUAAUAUGGGGUAACCGAUAAAACUAAGUUGUGAAGGGGACAAAAUUACGUGUCUACAUCAUGCCCCCUUUGGAUGUAAACACAAGGUGUUUUCAGACAAAGAAGUAGACAACGAGACAGAAUUUUGUUCCAACUGCUAUUCAAAGGAAGAAACAGAAGGAGGCAGGACAAUCGAGUCUUGACUUAGGACAUCCUACCUACCCAAGUUAUAAGGAAAUCAAGUGAUAGGUAUCUCAAAUGAUUAGGAAGGAGAUGGACUAUACCGAAUUGGAGAGUCGAGUGAGGUCCGCUUGAGGUUCCAGUCCGCGUCUUAGUACUUACAUCAGAAAUGAAAAUUACAAGUUAACACCUAAAUGAAAUUACAAAAAUCCUAUCUAUGCAGCUUCUUUUGGACUUUUGACUCGAGUUUUAUCACCCUAUUGUUCAGGCGGGCUCCUGACUUGCUAUUUCUUUAACUCAUUGCUUUGCUUUCAAUUGCUUUACCUUGUUCUUCAGGCGGGCUCCUAACUUACUAUUUUUCCUUUUGAUUUCCUUGCCUUGUCGCUUGACUUUCAACUUCUUGACCUUGUUGUUUGACUUUCAACUUCUUGACCUUGUUGCUUGACUUUCAAUUUCAUCAUCCUGUUCUUCAAGCGGGCUCCUGACUUUCAAUUUUCAUCACCCUAUUCUUCAGGCGGGCUCCUGACUUUCAAUUUCAUCACCCUAUUCUUCAUGCGGGCUUCUGACUUUCAACUUUUAUCACCCUAUUCUUCAGGUGAGCUCCUGAUAAAAAAAGAUUUCAUUCAUUUAUUUUUUAUUGAAAGUAAUGUCCCCUUUUCUAGGAGGAUCCUGAACAUAAAAUAAAUUCUCAUUUUUCAGGAGGGUCCUGAACAUAAAAUAAAUUCCCAUUGUUUAGGAGGGUCCUGAACAAAAAAUAAAUUCCCAUUUUUAGGAGGGUCCUGAACAGAAAGUAAAAUCUCAUUUUUCAGGAGGGUCCUUAACAGAAAGUAAAAUCCCAUUUUUCAGGAGGCUCCCGGACAUAAAGUAAAUUCUCAUUUUCCAGGAGGGUCCUGAACAUAAAGUAAACUUCCAUUUUUCAGGAGGGUCCUGAACAUAAAGUAAAUUUCUAUUUUCUAGGAAGGUCCUGAACAUAAAGUAAAUUCUCAUUUUUUAGGAGGGUACUAAACAGAAAGCAAAAUCCCAUUUUCCAAGAGGGUCCUGAACAGAAAGCAAAAUCUCAUUUUCUAAGAGGGUCCUGAACAGAAAGUAAAGUCCUAUUUUUCAGGAGGGUCCUGAACAGAAAGUAAAAUACCAUUUUUUAGGAGGGUCCUGAACAGAAAGUAAAGUACCAUUUUCAGGAGUGUCCUAAACAGAAAGUAAAAACUCAUUUUUCAGGAAGGUCCUGGACAGAAAGUAAAAUACCAUUUUUCAGGAGGGUCUUGAACAGAAAGUAAAGUCCCAUUUUUCAAGAGGGUCUUGAAAAGAAAGUAAAAUCCCAUUUUUUUAGGAGGGUCCUGAACAGAAAGUAAAAUCUCAUUGAUGUGCUUUUCUAAUGUUAGCUGAAUUAAGUGAAGGGAAUUUGCCCUUGUUUCAACAAAGAAAAUUUGUCAAUUAAAAACUUAGUGGUGGAUUGCAGCACUUGGUUUUCCCGACACCUGCUCCAAUAUUUAUUCCCUUCAUUUUAUUUCAUAUUGCUGGCACUUUCCCCUACUUUGUUGCAUCACUGACCCAAACUCAGAUUAUUAAGAGUGACUUUGAAAUAAACAUAAUAUCUCUGCUUUGCCGUGCUUCUCAGAUAAACCCUUUAAACCUUGGUAUUUCCAUGAGUUCCCAGACUUGUCUGUUGACAAAACUUUCGGCAUAUCUUAUUUCAACUCACAAUCAUGCCUCUUUUAUGUGCUUGUCUUUCUGUCUUACUUUGUGCAAUUGAAGAAGCUGGUAGGCAGUUUUGAAAUCUUUCCUCACUUGUGUUGACAUGGACUAGACUCAAAGACAAGAGAAAAAAAUGACAAUAAUUUUUAUUUGGAUAACUGAUUGAAGAAAAAUUAAAUAAAACACAAAGAAGAAAUAAAAUACAAUGAAUGUCCCCAUUUGAAACAAAGAAACGAAAAAUUUAUCUAAAAAUGACGGUCAACUCUAGUGAUUAUACCAUGCAUUUUGGAUUAAGUUGUCUGAUCUUUCCAUCCAAACUUUCUAUCAAUUGUUGUUGAGUCAAUGACCUUGAAAUUGAGUUGCUUUCUUAGGUCAAUUACAUUUAAGACCUUAUUUGGCUAGUGGCGCCUUAAAGGGUUUUUGCCAACAAGCCUUUCUCAUUUUUUAUCUUAGCUCAUCAUUUCCUUAUAAUGUCCGUGAGCUUUUCUCUAAUGAAACUCUCUUAUUAUUAUUUCUCCUAACUCACAGUCGUCUUAUAGUGCCCAUAAGGGUUUUCACCGACAAGACUCUCUCAUUUUUAUCCCUCUCAACUUACCAUCAUCAUACAAUGCCCGUGAUGGUUUUCCCUAAUAAGACUCUCUCAUUUUUUAUUUCUCCCCUGAUUUCUUAUGCCGAGGAAGACAAGUAGUUCCCAAAAUGCGUCAUCACAUUCAUUGCAUGCUUAGCCUUAAUAUUCUCAAAGAUUUAUUUGAAGGUCUUUCUUUGGUUGUAACUCGGAUUUUGGAUAAGGUUAGAAAGAAAGGAUGGAAUGAGGUCCAAACGACACUUGAAGUGGGGUAGGACUUACAACUUUUGGAAUUGACUCAAACAAUGAGGAUUAACUCAUGCCCUAGUUUCUUUGACUGGGCAAUUCUAAAUUGUUCAUUUGAUUGGUUGGACUGAGACCAUAGUAGGGCAGCCUACGUAUCUCACCCCCGAAAUAGUAGAAUCAGGUCACAUGUAGUUCCAGCAACUUGUUCUUUCUUUUGAUCUAAUUUUUCUUUCUUUUUCCUUUUAUUGGCUCUUUUCUCUUUGGGAUUCUUUUUCUGACUCCAUUUUCUUGACACUCUUGUUUUCUUUCUUUUUGGAUAUAUUUUGCCUCUUUUGGAAACUUUUCUGACCCUUUUUUUUGACACUUUUUCUUGGAUGUUGCAGACUCUAUCCUGAUUCCAAAAGAGGGGUAUGAAAGAAAAUAGAACUAAGGCUCAAAUGAGGUAAACAAAAGGUGACACAAUGUUAGGAUAGCAGAAUAAAAUGCCUUCGUCAUAUCAAUCCUUGAAAAUGUAAGUACACAUCACGCAAUAUGAAAGUGAGAGAUGAAGAUCAUGUGUGACACUUUAACAAUACAAACUUUAACUGAGUAUGUGUGCCACUUCUUUCUUCUACACUUGUCAAACAUACGACUCCACCGUUGUUGUACAUCCCUUACAUUGAAUGACUCAUGAUUUUGUGGAGAUGAUUUUCUUCCUAUUUCUUUUGAUAUAGGAUCACACAUUCCUUGUUUGACCUAAUUGGGAUAUGCCUUUCGAUUGAUGACCAAGUUAUCCAUGUGAUUCUCAAAAUAAAUGUCUUAAUUUUCAAUGAAGGCUUCAACUUGAUCACCAAAUUCCUCAUCACUCUACCUAUUUUCUCAAAUGCUCUCUUUUCUUAACUUUAACUUUCUGAUUCAAUGUUCAUGCUUAAAUUAGAUUUAAAGAUCUGGCUGAAAAUUUCGUUAGCAUGUCAUAUCACUAGAGUCGACAUAAAAUGUACUAUGGAAAGAAAAUAAACAAAUACAUAUUUAAAACACAAAGGAAAAAGGGACACUCUAUUUAAUUAAAAUGAAAGAUAGAAGGGUUUGAACAUAACGACAAAUGGUCAAAACAAGAUAGAUCCCAAACUACAACCCUGAAAUAAUUCGAAUAACAGAAAAUAAAAUAAAACAAACUACCAGACCUUUUCCUAAAAGGGAGAGGGGUGACUUCUCAAUUGCUCAGCCUAACAUCUUAGCCACUGGUUUACAUAUCAGCAUGACUAGAGCUUUUCUCACUGCCAAUGUUCUGCACCAUAGUUGAUCUAUCUUGAAUCAUCUUUUCAAUUUCUCUUUUCAAAGCCCGAUAAUCUUUAAUACUGUGACCCUGAACAUCAGAAUGAUAUGCAUAUCGUACACUAGGGUCAAAACUUCUUGAAUGAGGGUUAGGAGUAUACCCAAGGAGAGGAGAGAUCAUGCCCCGCUGUACCAAUUUCUGAAAUAAGCUGGCAUACAACUCUCUAAUUGGUGUGAAGCUAUCCCUCAAUUUCUGCCUCAUUUCAUUAUUUGGAUUGGAUCUAAAAUCGGGCCUAGAAAGGCUUUGAUAUAUUUGUGGAGUCCGAGGGUAACUCUGAGGAAUUGGUGCACACCAUUGUGAAUAAGAAGUGAGUUGAACAUAUAGUUGUACGCAGUAUACUCGAUAUGGAGGUGGGGAAAUGAAGUAUAAUGGAUUUUGAGAGGGAUUAUAGAGAGCUUGGUUACGAACUUGGGCCUAAGAUUAAUGACAACCACGACGUCGUCUUUUUGGAUGUGUCCAUUCUCCAACUACAAUAGCAACUGUAUCUUUCUCAUUCUUCUUCCCUCUAGUUUCCUUUAAUUGAUUACAAUAUUGUCCCAGAUAUUUCACGGAUUCCUCCUGUCCAUCUUGAUCCUCGAAUUUUGAUAUCUCAAGGAUUAGAGGAGGGUUAACAAUUGAAGACAUGCCCCAGUUUUUGUAUGAAACAUCUUCUUUACUCGCAAGUCUUAGGGAAAUUUUCACAGCAUUUCCUGUACUCUUCAUUUUUCCAACUAUUGUCUCUGGCUCUUCUAGCAUACUAGGCUUCUUGUUAAGAAAUUUUUGUGGUCCAAUUAACAUUGAUGUGGACUCAGGAAUAUAGCAAUGAUCAUCAAGAGUAUCAAACAUGAGUCCACUAGUAGAGUGGGGCAACACGACCGUUGGUUGAUAGCCAAAGUCAAAGCCUUAGUAGAAGGUUGAGCAAUAAAAGCACAGAUAGUAUAUGGUGUUAUCAAUGUAGUAGAUUUAUACUGAAGAGCUAGAGAAUGAGGGACGAAAGCAUUGGGAUGUUUUUGGCUUGGAAUGAAUUCUAAGGCAUCUUGUGGUACUUGGAAUGACUUCUGAGUCAUGUUGCGGUGCAUCAACAAUAGUAGGAAACUGACUUUGCAAUUUUGGUGGAAAACUAGAGAUAUUUGUAGGAUCAAUAGCGAGAAAUGGAGGAGGAGGCAACCCACUAACCCAAGAUCGAUACAUUUCAUUCAUUUGUUGUCUUAGUCUCCUAACCUCUUGCUUUAAACUCUCAUUUUCUAACUCUUUGUUUGAUCCAUGAUGUCACUCUCUAUAUCCUUGUUGGACACAAAUAACCUUUUGGAUUUGGUGUGAUGUGGAGGACCAGCCAGAAUGCCACAGACCAACCACCUUAAACUGACUUAACAAAAAAACAACAAAUGUGUUAAGAGUUUAACACUUUUCAAAACCUCUUUUUCCUUCUUUUUUUUUGAAAAGAUCAUCGAACCCAAGAAGGGCGCCUACGUAUCUCAUUCCCGAGAGAGGAGAAUCAGGUGUGUGUAGUUCGUGAAGUCUUGCCAAAAUGGCCAAUCAACCUCUUUUAUUUUUCUUUUUCUUGAAACUUUACGAAGAAAAGAAAAUAACAAAUUGUCAAAAGAAUUGAUGAAAAUCGUUUUGAAUUUUCAGCUUUAAAAUUUCUAUACAAAAUGAAACCUAUUAUUAUCAAAAAAAAUCUUUUUGGAUUUUUAAUUUUGCAUUCAUACAUAAAUAAAACUUGAAACUAUUAAAGGAAAAUCUUUUUAUGGUUUUCUUUUAGAGAUGUAUAUGGUACUUACUCUAAAUAAAGAGUGAAGAAGAUCUUUUUUUUGAAUUUUUAGAUUUCUAUACAAAAUGAAACCUAUUAUUAUCAAAAAAAAUCUUUUUGGAUUUUUAAUUUUGCAUUCAUACAUAAAUAAAACUUGAAACUAUUAAAGGAAAAUCUUUUUGUAGUUUUCUCUUGAAGAUGUAUAUGAAACACCUACUCUAAAUGAAGAGUGAAUAAAAUAUUUUUUGAAUUUUUGAAAUAAGAUCCUCGAACCCCCAAUAGGCUGCCUACGUAUCUCACUCCCGAGAUAGGAGAAUUAGGGGUGCGUAGUUCGUCCAGAUUGGACAAUUUAGGAUUAAAUAACCAAAACCCUAACUUGAGAGACACGAGCACAAACAUAAGAUGCAAAACGUUAAUAAAAUCUUUUUGAGUUUUCAAUUUGACACUUCACAUAAAAAUGAUACCAACAACUAUGAAAGAAAAAAUCUUUUUGAUAUUUUCGUGAAAUGUACAAAACUCCUACAAUUGUUUUUUUUUGCAUUUUUCUUUAAUAAAAACUCCUAUGAAUGAAAAAUCUUUUUGAAGUUUUCGAAUUGUGAAUGCAUGCUAAACGAGACAAAGGAAAAAUCUUUUUGAUGUUUUUAUUUUUGAGAAAUGAGUGCAAAAGGUAAAAAUCUUUUUUGAAUUUUUAGAUUGUAAAGAACCAAACCUAUAAAAAACUCUAAAAAAACUAUGAAACUCUUUUUUUCAAUUCACCUUUUCUCUUUUUCUCUUUUUUUUUUCAAACUUUUCCUUACCUACACACUUUCUUUAAUUCUAGAACAUGUUUUUGCCCAAAACAGUCUGUCAAAUAACUUCGUUACCCUCAAAGAUGCAACAUUUAGCAUGUAGGGAUACUUUAGAGGUGAGUCUCCUACAAAGGACCAAGUGGGUCCCGCUAGGUCUCAAUAUGAUGUAUAUAAGCUUGACCUAAAGGCUGACCUACGCUGAAGUUCACUAACAAGGCUAUUCGGGGGAGCGUAUGGUCGAUAGUGGCUGCGACAGCUUUCCACCUACUCAUACAACCCAACGGUCCCCCUUCCUAAAAUAAGGGUGACUCAACUAUAGGUCGUGUACACACGUGUACUACGGACUUAUUGCAGAAAGAAUGACUCAGGUUAUGCAUAUGAUGCCAGAUAUAAAUCGGUAAUACAUAAAGAAAAACUGUAAACAAAGAGCACGUAGAUGCACAACAGUGAUAACAAUAACACAAAUAAUAACUCAAACAAUGUUUAUACACCCAUAAUGCGAAACAAAGCCGAUACAACUCCAAAAAUAAGCUCGAAUUCUAAAAAAAUCCCCAGCAGAGUCGCCAGAGCUAUCACACCCUUUUUUUUUAACUCCAAAAAGAUUGAUUUUAAGUUUUGAAGGGUUUUUAUUAUCAAAGUGAUAGAAGAUGAAAAUUUAUUUCAAGAAGGACUAUUUACAUUUUUAUUCAGAGUCGUCAUUUGGCAUAAUCCGGUGUGCCAAGUCACCUUUGAAAGAUCCUUUACAAAAUGAUUUGACUCUUUAAAACUGGUUUGCGAAUAGAGAUUCCGGCUAAGGAAUUCUGUUGACCGAGGGGAAGGUGUUAGGCACCUCUCAAUUUCGUGGUUCGACCACAGUCGCUUGGUGGAGCGUAUCGGCUAAAUUUGACAUUAUGGAUGUAUAAAUCGACAAACAACAACCAUGAAAUAAGCAAGACAACCAAACAAAAAUAAGUCCAAAACAACAAUGUCCAGUUUAAUUUAUUACAAACCUAAAUAGAAAAUACUGAAAUAAACCUACCCUAACCUAUACUUAGUCCUAAACUAUACUCUACUCGAUGCCUUGGGCCUUGGUCACGAACAUCCUUUGCGUACAAAAUUCUUCGGGGUAUUCCUUGAUGAGUAAAUACAAAUAACCUCGAGGCAUUCCCCGAUUAAAUAAAUACAUUUUUUAAAUACGGUAAACAAAACAUUCAACAAAUAUUUCAAACAUUCCAACAAUCCACCAAUUCUAAAUUUGCCUACCCGAGCCUACUGUUUGCCUACCCGCUCGACGACAUAUCACGUUGAACAUCAACAAUGAAUCAAAAUACCAUAAUAUUCACUUUUAUUAAUUUUCAAUUCCCAUUCCCCAAAUCUAUUUUUAACCACAUGAUUAAAUCAAUUCUCUACGCCGUUUUUCAAUCAAGUUUUCAACUCCAAAUCCAACAUCAAACAAACAAAAAACGAGGAUUCAAACAUGCCAACCACACAAAUCAUUCAUAAAUCACAUAAAAAUUAUAAGAAGAAAAGGUAGAAUUGGACCUCAAUAGAGUGUUAUUAUAGAUAAUAAAGAAGUCCGACAAACCAAGAUCCUCGAGCAACGGACCCCAACAACGAGCAAACCAAAUCAGUGUAGAGAGUAAGAGAAACCCGCUACUAAUUUGUGGUUAACUGAAAACACUAAUUAACUUCGAACGACCUCCAAAAGCAAGAUGUCGACGACAAAUACUAAAGAUAGACCAACUCGAACCUCUCAAAAAUCCAAUGGAAAACUGAAAACUAGUAUAGUUUGAGCUCCAAUGAGCUGCGAUAUCGAGAUCCGACUAGUAAUGAACCAAAUCCCACAAAGAAAUCACCAAAAUCGCUUGAAAACGACCAGAAACAGUCAAUUCUUGUGAUUCCCGGUAUACUUUGACAUUUUCCCAGUGACAUUGUCGAAGAAAACUAUGAAUCAGUAAAGAAAUUUUGGGGAAUUUUGAAGCGGUGAUGAUUUUAAACCUAUGAUGCGUAAAAAUGAUCGAAAUAAUCAGUUCCGGUGAUAGGUUUGCUGGAAAACUCAAAACCCCGUUCCCCUCUCCCGAUCUCUUCUCUCUCUUUGUUACUCUCUCUCUCUCUUUUCCACUCCAUUUUUUGUGUGGGUGCAUGUGGAUUAGUUCGUGAAAAGAGAAAA